RNAcentral lists this ribosomal RNA (510 nucleotides) under uncultured bacterium. RNAcentral describes it as "partial 16S ribosomal RNA". It matches the Rfam family "Bacterial small subunit ribosomal RNA", at positions 28 to 507 of the family's 1533-position model. The record is from RNAcentral.
GACGAACGCUGGCGGCGUGCUUAACACAUGCAAGUCGAACGAAGAGCGACGGAAGCUUGCUUCUCUCAAUCUUAGUGGCGCACGGGUGAGUAACGCGUAAUCAACCUGCCCUUCAGAGGGGGACAACAGUUGGAAACGACUGCUAAUACCGCAUACGAUCUAACCUCGGCAUCGAGGAUAGAUGAAAGGUGGCCUCUACAUGUAAGCUAUCACUGAAGGAGGGGAUUGCGUCUGAUUAGCUAGUUGGAGGGGUAACGGCCCACCAAGGCGAUGAUCAGUAGCCGGUCUGAGAGGAGGAACGGCCACAUUGGGACUGAGACACGGCCCAGACUCCUACGGGAGGCAGCAGUGGGGAAUCUUCCGCAAUGGACGAAAGUCUGACGGAGCAACGCCGCGUGAGUGAUGACGGCCUUCGGGUUGUAAAGCUCUGUUAAUCGGGACGAAAGGCCUUCUUGCGAAUAGUGAGAAGGAUUGACGGUACCGGAAUAGAAAGCCACGGCUAACUACGUG